UUUUUGCAUGAGUGACAACUUCUUAGAGGGACGUUCAUCAUACAGGAGAAGGAAGGAGGAGGCAAUAACCGGUUUGUGAUGCCCUUAGAUGUUCUGGGCCGCCCGCCCGCUACCACGAAGGCACCAACGAGCCUUCUACCCUUGGCGAAGGGGCGCGGGUAAUCUUGUUAACACGCAUCGAGAUAGGGAGUGAUUACACUAUAUUUUUAAUCUUGAGAGAGGAAUUCCUAGUAAUCGACGGUUCAUCCAACCCCAAUGAUUAUCGUCCCUGCCCUUAUACACACCGCCCGUCGCACACUACAGAUAUAAAUGGUCCGAGAGGACUCGAGGAUUGUGGUGUGUGGCUCCUCCACAGCGCGCCGACCCCGAGAACUCGUCCUCUGUAAAACUACGGCCAGUCCGCGGUAAUCCAGCUCCA
RNAcentral lists this ribosomal RNA (418 nucleotides) under uncultured Thalassiosira. RNAcentral's name for it is "partial 18S ribosomal RNA". It matches the Rfam family "Eukaryotic small subunit ribosomal RNA", at positions 1389 to 1762 of the family's 1831-position model. The record is from RNAcentral. Lineage: Eukaryota; Bacillariophyta; Thalassiosirophyceae; Thalassiosirales; Thalassiosiraceae.